Nicotiana attenuata is the source of this 530-nucleotide long non-coding RNA. RefSeq lists it as uncharacterized. The transcript has 2 exons. The record is from RefSeq and is a predicted model, not a curated record. NCBI's taxonomy places the organism in Eukaryota, Viridiplantae, Streptophyta, Magnoliopsida, Solanales, Solanaceae.
UCAAAAAGAAACAUUGCUAUGCUUGGACAAGAACUUUCGUAAAAGGAGAAAUACCAAUUCUAAGAUAAUGCCGUUUAAGCUUGGUUCUAUUUUCACUAUUCUUCUCUUGACAGCUAGUAUUAACUUGUCGUGGUUUCCAAAAACGCAAGCUAUGUCAACACGGGAUAUUAAUCACGAUGCUUUAGAAUUCCAAAGAAGACUACUCCCACAAGUUAAUGAUCUUAUAACUUGCGGAAGAGGUUGUACGACAAAGAGUGAUUGCAGUGAUUGUUGGCUGUGUUGUGACUGCGACUUGGCAUUAGAAGUUGGUAGUUAUGUAUGUGUGCAUUGAACUCCGCUACAUAUUUCUAAUAUGCAUUUAAGUUUCCAUGUAAUUUCAAUGUUCUCUUUGGUGUUUUUACUUUCUUUUGUAAAGUCAUGUGGAUAGAUUUCCACUAAGAAUAAUUAUGGAUUCAACUCUAAGGCUGGCCGGCUAGCUUUUUAAUACAUAUAUGAUUCAAUAAUCAUUUGCUAAGAUUUGCUUUAUCGCA